AGGACAACCCUACCUAUGUAACAACCAUUGCUCAUCUGAAACACAGAUUUGUUGGUGUGCUGCAGUUUUUGGCUAAAUCUGGCAGCAUGAUUAGAGGAUCUAGAACAGUGAUAAUGUUCUGGGGCUGGUGUUCCUGGUCCCAAACCUGGGUGUGCAUAUAGCCACCACAGAGCUCACUGUGAUUUGGUGGUCGCCUCUCUAAAAUGUGGAUCACGAUAUGACCUCAUCUGAUAGGUCUACUUGACAACGCAGUGUUGGUCCCUUCCAGUGGACACAGGCUGGAAAAAGGAAAUGGCUCUCACUAGAUAAUGAACCUACUGGCACCUUGAUCUUGGACUUCCCGCCGCCAGAACUGUGAGAAAGAAAUACAUGUUCUUCAUAAAUUACCCAGCCUCAGAGAGAAUAAGAAGAGGAUUCGCGUCCAAAAAUUGCUCAGAGAAGAGCCAGGGAGCAUUUGGUGUUGCGCUUAUUUACAUCUUCCACUAGGUGGCAGCAUGUUACCAAACACGAGAGCUGUCUCCCAGGCCACAUGCUGUGCCAUGCAAAAGGAGAUCUCUCCCCUACCACCUUCAAAGACUCCAUAAAUUCCACGGGCUUCACAAAGAGAAAUCAGAAUCAAUGAAACCACUUCUGAGCAGUGACUGUUUUACUAUCUUUGAAGGAGGUUCUUAACCACAGGGCAAGCACACGUGAACAUGAGAAGGUUAGACCCUGCAAUUCAUUAAGAGAGAGAUGUGUCAAUAGUUUCCAAGUGGGGAUCAUCUUAGAUGACUGCAUUGAUUGUGGUUAUCAAGCAAGACUUUCAGGAGUCACAAAAUAUGUAAGUUAUAACACAGACCAUGAGUGGAAAACCCAUGAAGAUAGCUGGCCACUAUGCUAUGUAGAAAAUGGUCCACUGCCUAUGCACAUGCCUACGCUCACUCCUUAGCAAGCAAUAGACAUUUGUGCUGGUUGGUUUUUGUCAACUUGACACAGCCUAGGCAUAUCUGGGAAGAAGGAAUCUUCACUGAGAAAAUGCCUCCAUAAGAUUGU
This is a long non-coding RNA of Meriones unguiculatus (Mongolian gerbil), 1032 nucleotides long. RefSeq lists it as uncharacterized. The record is from RefSeq and is a predicted model, not a curated record. The transcript is spliced from 4 exons. Lineage: Eukaryota; Metazoa; Chordata; Mammalia; Rodentia; Muridae.